ACUUGGUUAGCUUAGUCGGUAAAGCGUUUGUUUUGUAAUCAAAAGAUCAGCGGUUCAAAUCCGCUACUAAGCU
This 73-nucleotide transfer RNA is filed under the name Emiliania huxleyi. RNAcentral's name for it is "tRNA-Thr". It matches the Rfam family "tRNA". Rfam says of the family: Transfer RNA (tRNA) molecules are approximately 80 nucleotides in length. Their secondary structure includes four short double-helical elements and three loops (D, anti-codon, and T loops). Lineage: Eukaryota; Haptophyta; Isochrysidales; Noelaerhabdaceae. The record is from RNAcentral. RNAcentral also lists the same sequence under 4 other names.